UACUGUUCAUUAGCUCCUCUUUCUCUGCAAUCAGACCAUCUAUCUCCACGCCUAAAAGUUUAAGUUUGCUCUCAAGUAAAUGUUUUUCUUCAGUCAAGGUGCUAUUUUCAGCUUUUGUUUUAGCAAUAGUUGCCUUCAGUUGAGAACAUUCAGUACCUAAAUUCUGCUCACAUGCUUUCAGGUUAUCAUUCUCCCUUGAGAGCAUCAAAUUCUCAUUCUUCAUCUUCUCAAUCUCUGAUAACAAGGUCUGCACUUCUUUCUCAGCUAGCUGGGCCUUCUCGAGUUGGGAUGACAAGAAGGUGCAUUUCUCUUGGUGUACUGUAACCUCAUUAUACAUAUUGGUCUUUGCCGCUUCAAGGUUUUCCACGGCUUCCUGCAGAUUUGAAAUUUGUUGGUUUUUCUCUUCUAACUUAUUACCGAGCUCAAGAGUAGAAGCAACAGCUUCAUUCUUUUGUCCUUGUACUGUUGCAAGAUCAUUUUGUAAAUUGGAAUUCACCAACUCCAAGUCUUCAUUAUUCUUAUGCAUAAUAGAAAUCCUCUCAAGUUCCUGUUCCAAGUCAUUACCAAGAUUCUCAAAAGAAGCUUCUAGCUGCUGUAGCUCUGAUGACAGAGAAUUUUUUUCGUUUUGCAGCACUGCUAUUUUAUCGUUCAAAUCACCAUUUGUUGAUUCUAGUUCCUUAACACUUGACUGUGCCUUCUCCAACUCAGUUAGGCACUUGGAAUGUUUGGAUACUAGCAUUUCCUUUUCUUCUGCUGCAGCUCCACGUUCUAUGUUCAUACUGUUCAUUAGCUCCUCUUUCUCUGCAAUCAGAUCAUCUAUCUCCACGCCUAAAAGUUUAAGUUUGCUCUCAAGUAAAUGUUUUUCUUCAGUCAAGGUGCUAUUUUCAGCUUUUGUUUCAGCAAUAGUUGCCUUCAGCUGAGAACAUUCAGUACCUAAAUUCUGCUCACAUGCUUUCAGGUUAUCAUUCUCCCUUGAGAGCAUCAAAUUCUCAUUCUUUAUCUUCUCAAUCUCUGAUAACAAGGUCUGCACUUCUUUCUCAGCUAGCUGGGCCUUCUCGAGUUGGGAUGACAAGAAG
Molecule: long non-coding RNA, 1076 nt
Filed under: Oryza sativa (Asian cultivated rice)
Lineage: Eukaryota; Viridiplantae; Streptophyta; Magnoliopsida; Poales; Poaceae
Description: long non-coding RNA (OSAT_LNC001113)
Source: RNAcentral